This 492-nucleotide ribosomal RNA is filed under the name uncultured bacterium. RNAcentral's name for it is "partial 16S ribosomal RNA". It matches the Rfam family "Bacterial small subunit ribosomal RNA", at positions 29 to 507 of the family's 1533-position model. The record is from RNAcentral.
AGUGAACGCUGGCGGUAGGCCUAACACAUGCAAGUCGAACGGCAGCACAGUAAGAGCUUGCUCUUACGGGUGGCGAGUGGCGGACGGGUGAGGAAUACAUCGGAAUCUACUUUUUCGUGGGGGAUAACGUAGGGAAACUUACGCUAAUACCGCAUACGACCUACGGGUGAAAGCAGGGGAUCUUCGGACCUUGCGCGAUUGAAUGAGCCGAUGUCGGAUUAGCUAGUUGGCGGGGUAAAGGCCCACCAAGGCGACGAUCCGUAGCUGGUCUGAGAGGUUGAUCAGCCACACUGGAACUGAGACACGGUCCAGACUCCUACGGGAGGCAGCAGUGGGGAAUAUUGGACAAUGGGCGCAAGCCUGAUCCAGCCAUACCGCGUGGGUGAAGAAGGCCUUCGGGUUGUAAAGCCCUUUUGUUGGGAAAGAAAAGCAGCAGGUUAAUACCCCGCUGUUCUGACGGUACCCAAAGAAUAAGCACCGGCUAACCUCGUG